RNAcentral lists this ribosomal RNA (233 nucleotides) under uncultured bacterium. Its description in RNAcentral is "partial 16S ribosomal RNA". It matches the Rfam family "Bacterial small subunit ribosomal RNA", at positions 118 to 347 of the family's 1533-position model. The record is from RNAcentral.
UGAGUAACCUGCCCUUAACUCUGGGAUAAGCCUGGGAAACUGGGUCUAAUACCGGAUAUGACUCCUCAUCGCAUGGUGGGGGGUGGAAAGCUUUAUUGUGGUUUUGGAUGGACUCGCGGCCUAUCAGCUUGUUGGUGAGGUAAUAGCUCACCAAGGCGAUGACGGGUAGCCGGCCUGAGAGGGUGACCGGCCACACUGGGACUGAGACACGGCCCAGACUCCUACGGGAGCAG